This 468-nucleotide ribosomal RNA is filed under the name uncultured bacterium. RNAcentral describes it as "partial 16S ribosomal RNA". It matches the Rfam family "Bacterial small subunit ribosomal RNA", at positions 28 to 507 of the family's 1533-position model. The record is from RNAcentral.
GACGAACGCUGGCGGCGUGCUUAACACAUGCAAGUCGAACGGAAAGGCCCUGCUUUUGUGGGGUGCUCGAGUGGCGAACGGGUGAGUAGCACGUGAGUAACCUGCCCUUGACUUUGGGAUAACUUCAGGAAACUGGGGCUAAUACCGGAUAGGAGCUCCUGCUGCAUGGUGGGGGUUGGAAAGUUUCGGCGGUUGGGGAUGGACUCGCGGCUUAUCAGCUUGUUGGUGGGGUAGUGGCUUACCAAGGCUUUGACGGGUAGCCGGCCUGAGAGGGUGACCGGCCACAUUGGGAUUGAGAUACGGCCCAGACUCCUACGGGAGGCAGCAGUGGGGAAUAUUGCACAAUGGGCGGAAGCCUGAUGCAGCAACGCCGCGUGCGGGAUGACGGCCUUCGGGUUGUAAACCGCUUUCGCCUGUGACGAAGCGUGAGUGACGGUAAUGGGUAAAGAAGCACCGGCUAACUACGUG